ACCUGCGGAAGGAUCAUUAUUGAAAUAAAACUGAUGAGUUGUUGCUGGUUCUCUAGGGAGCAUGUGCACGCUUGUCAUAGUUAUAUCUCCACUUGUGCACCUUUUGUAGACCUGGAUAUUUCUCUGAGUGCUAGUCACUCAGGUUUGAGGAUUGACUUUAUGUCUCUCCUUACAUUUUCAGGCCUAUGUUUCUUCAUAUACCCUAAUGUAUGUCAUAGAAUGUAAUCAAUAGGCCUUUGUGCCUAUAAACCUAUACAACUUUCAGCAACGGAUCUCUUGGCUCUCGCAUCGAUGAAGAACGCAGCGAAAUGCGAUAAGUAAUGUGAAUUGCAGAAUUCAGUGAAUCAUCGAAUCUUUGAACGCACCUUGCGCUCCUUGGUAUUCCGAGGAGCAUGCCUGUUUGAGUGUCAUUAAUAAUAUAUCAAUCUCUUCAGCUUUUGGUUGUUGAGUGUUGGAUGUGGGGGUCAUUUUUUUUUUGCUGGUCUUCUCAAAGGUCAGCUCCCCUGAAAUGCAUUAGCGGAACAAUUUGUGGACCGUUCAUUGGUGUGAUAACUAUCUACGCUAUUGACGUGAAACAGUUCAGCUUCUAACAGUCUAUGAAUGGACAAAUUUCAUUA
Molecule: ribosomal RNA, 617 nt
Filed under: Thaxterogaster multiformis
Lineage: Eukaryota; Fungi; Basidiomycota; Agaricomycetes; Agaricales; Cortinariaceae
Description: eukaryotic LSU rRNA
Rfam family: 5.8S ribosomal RNA (bases 257-410)
Source: RNAcentral